GACGAACGCUGGCGGCGUGCUUAACACAUGCAAGUCGAACGAUGAAGCCGGAGCUUGCUCCGGUGGAUUAGUGGCGAACGGGUGAGUAACACGUGAGCAAUCUGCCCUUGACUCUGGGAUAACUGCGGGAAACUGUAGCUAAUACCGGAUAAGACACCUUGGGGCAUCCCAGGGUGUGGAAAGAAUUUCGGUCAAGGAUGAGCUCGCGGCCUAGCAGCUAGUUGGUGAGGUAAUGGCGCACCAAGGGGACGACGGGUAGCCGGCCUGAGAGAGUGACCGGCCACACUGGAACUGAGACACGGUCCAGACUCCUACGGGAGGCAGCAGUGGGGAAUAUUGCACAAUGGGCGAAAGCCUGAUGCAGCAACGCCGCGUGAGGGAUGAAGGCCUUCGGGUUGUAAACCUCUUUUAGCAGGGAAGAAGCGAAAGUGACGGUACCUGCAGAAAAAGCACCGGCUAACUACGUGCCAGCCGCCGCGGUAA
This 483-nucleotide ribosomal RNA is filed under the name uncultured bacterium. RNAcentral describes it as "partial 16S ribosomal RNA". It matches the Rfam family "Bacterial small subunit ribosomal RNA", at positions 28 to 523 of the family's 1533-position model. The record is from RNAcentral.